GGAAAGUGCAAGGUAGCAUGGAGCGCGGUCACCACGCCGGAAUCCCACGGAGGCCUUGGUAUCCAUGAUCUGGACAAAUUCGCGCGCGCCCUCCGUCUGCGCUGGCUCUGGCUCUCCUGGACCCAUCCAGAGCGGCCAUGGGUCGGCACGGACACGCCAUGCAACCUGCAGGAUCAAGCCCUCUUC
Molecule: ribosomal RNA, 186 nt
Filed under: Triticum aestivum (bread wheat)
Lineage: Eukaryota; Viridiplantae; Streptophyta; Magnoliopsida; Poales; Poaceae
Description: partial small subunit ribosomal RNA
Source: RNAcentral